Molecule: ribosomal RNA, 61 nt
Filed under: Nemania bipapillata
Lineage: Eukaryota; Fungi; Ascomycota; Sordariomycetes; Xylariales; Xylariaceae
Description: partial 28S ribosomal RNA
Source: RNAcentral
UUGACCUCGGAUCAGGUAGGGAUACCCGCUGAACUUAAGCAUAUCAAAAUCCGGAAAGGAA